This 2635-nucleotide long non-coding RNA is filed under the name Homo sapiens (human). RNAcentral's name for it is "non-protein coding FAM198B-AS1:24". Lineage: Eukaryota; Metazoa; Chordata; Mammalia; Primates; Hominidae. The record is from RNAcentral.
GAGAAUGUUUGCUAUCUUGGUGGAGCAGCCGCAGCCAAGCAAGUAACUUGUAAAAUGAGGAAUGCCAUCACCCCUCGAGUGUCCAUCCCACAUAACUUGGGGUUAGAGCACAAGCGUUCCCAGGAACUACUCACCUUACCAUCUUGGCCGUUUCAUUUGUCUUCCACCAGUUCUGGAAAGAGAAGGCCUAGAAGUUCAGAAAAAAAGGUAAGAAAGAGUUAAUAUAAAUGAGGAGAAAAAAUAGAACAGUGAGAUAAGAGUACACACAGAUAAGGAAAGACAUUUAUAGUGUGCAAUUGCACGGUGCAACAGUUCACAAAAGGAAGUCGUGGAUUCUCUCUGAUUGGAGGUUUUUUGAAAAAACAGGUUAGGGAUUGGCCUGGGUGGUUUGCGUGUCCUAGCACAAAGGCAGGGGCUGAUGACCUUGGGGUGUCAAUUAGACUAUGGCAAAUAGAAUCAAAAGGCAAGAAGACAGAAAGGGGACAGGGAUUUUUCCUCCCCACAGAGAAAGAAAGUUGUGAUACUGAAGAGUGGGUAAAAGAUUAGCAUAUGGUGUAUAAUCCUAAAAAUACUAUAUUUUACAAUGCAAAAAGAGCAAGGAGUUGGAAUAUAUAGGGAAGGAGAGAAUAAACGUCCAAGUGGUAAAUUGACAAAAAUUAUAAUCGGGCUGUUAUUUCAGCACUCUAAACUCAGUCCUUUUUUCCUCUUUAAAAGUCCUGCCACAUGGAGGAAUGAGAAGGAGCAAUCCCAAUAUUGACAGUAGCCUGGAAGUACCUGGAUAUUUUGGCUAAACUUUGUGAGAAUUCAGGCAUCAAAACAAUUUUAUCUGCACUCAAAAACUCUUAGGCACACACUUCCAUACACACAGAAUUAUUUUCUUGAUAGAAAAUGUGAACUUCUUGCAAGGAAACCAUACCAAAGCUGCAUUUUAUAACCAUCUUAUUAUUUCCACAGUCAAAGGAAUAACUGACCUGGCUCUAUAACAAUUAAAAGUAAGCCUUUGGCAGAGGCCAGUUAUAAUAAGCAGACAUCUCCUCUAGCUGUUUUUAGAGCUAUUUUUUUCAUGGAGAAAUGCCUACGAGAUAGGGAGAGUUGUGUGAGUUAGUAAAUUUCGUUGACUACCUUCCCACCCCCACUCCAAAAAUGUCUCCUAGAAAAAGAACAAUACACUGUCCCCUGCUAUAGCCACAAUAGGGAUUCGUGGAGGCUACACUAUCUACUCUGAACUAUGAUAUUCAGAGAAUGGGCUGAAGAGGGAGGCAGACUGGCUUUAAAUUCUCCUCAUUUACCUCUUACGUGUGGUCCCCUGUGGCAAGUAAUCUUACCUCUCUAAGCCUCAGUUUCCCCCAUGUGUAAGAAAAGAAAAAUAAUAGCACUUACCCUAUCGGUUUCUUCUGAUGACUGAAUGAGAUAGCAGCCUUGGAAUGAUCAUUUGAAAUAUUCAGCAAUGUGUUUGUUUUUAUCCCCCAUGAUGCCUCAUUAAACUGCUCAGAGGCCUCUCUCCUCAGCCCAGGCCUUGACAGAUAGUCACCACUGCACCACAGCAAAGCAAUCAUGGUAGAAUUGAGGACAAGCACACUGAAUUAUUUGUAGCCAACAUAUUGAUAUAGCCAAUACAGUGGAUAAAUGGGGCUUGUCAGAUAUAAUCAGAGCACAAUUUUAGUGAUUCCCCCCACUGCCCAUUGAAACCUGUUCUGUGGCCUGAUAUCUCUUUUCAACUUUCUUAAAUGGAAACUCAGGCAGUCCCCAUGACUUUUCCAGUCAUACUUAAAUUUUUGUAAAAGUUCUCCAGUUGUUAGCCAUAGACAUACAGACACAUAAUACACAUAAACUAAUUAAUAUGUUUGAUUCUAUAUCACAGUCAAUUUCUUUAAAAAUUUCUUUUAAAUUCCCAGAAUUUCUCCAGAAGAUAGCAGUCCCUCAAAAAGCAUAGCCAAAAUCUACUGAAAAGGGACAGAGGAGACCCAUCUUACAUUCUUUUUUGUUCCUGCCUAGAGCUCUUAUUCCUUAACCACUCACCCAGCCGCUCACCCCACUUUGAGCCUGGCUCUGGCUGUUCCAAGGUAGUGGAGAGAGAGAAGCAAUAAUAGCAGAAAUGGCCUUGCUACUCCAUUGAUACUGCUGCAAAUUGACUUAUAAGCUCUCCAGGUUUGGCAGGUGUGUAAAGCUGACUCUGAGAUAGUUAAUUCAAAGACACCACUAUCAAAGCAUCUCUCUAGCUGGCUGUUGAUGGCCCCUUAGUCCCUUGGAACUUGGUAGCCCCCUGUUCUGUUGAGAUCACCUCAUCUCUCCAGGCUGUUCUCUUAGGCAGCAUUUAAGCUGACCUGCAGGCUGGUUUUCUAACUUGGGCCUCUGUGUACUGCCCCACAAGUGAUCCAGUGGACAUGGUCACCAUCAUUUGCUCCAGCAACCUCAGACUUCCCAAUGCAGCAACCCACCUCCCUUAGCACUGCGGAUCCAUAUCUCAUUUUCGAAUGUGGAAGCAAUUGCCAUCAAUUGCUCAUGGUCUCUGUUGAAACUGAAUGGAAAGGUGUUUUUUGCCAUCAGGUAGCAUGGGAAACAGAGAAGUUUAAUUUAGUUUUAGAAAAAUAAGGCUAAAUUCCUUGAACAAGCGUUAGCUUGAAAAUUUGUUGCC